RNAcentral lists this ribosomal RNA (496 nucleotides) under uncultured bacterium. RNAcentral describes it as "partial 16S ribosomal RNA". It matches the Rfam family "Bacterial small subunit ribosomal RNA", at positions 29 to 507 of the family's 1533-position model. The record is from RNAcentral.
AUGCACGCUGGCGGCGUGCCUAAUACCUGCCAGUCGAGCGAACGGACGAGAAGCUUGCUUCUCUGAUGUUAGCGGCGGCCGGGUGAGUAACACGUGGAUAACCUACCUAUAAGACUGGGAUAACUUCGGGAAACCGGAGCUAAUACCGGAUAAUAUUUUGAACCGCAUGGUUCAAAAGUGAAAGACGGUCUUGCUGUCACUUAUAGAUGGAUCCGCGCUGCAUUAGCUAGUUGGUAAGGUAACGGCUUACCAAGGCAACGAUGCAUAGCCGACCUGAGAGGGUGAUCGGCCACACUGGAACUGAGACACGGUCCAGACUCCUACGGGAGGCAGCAGUAGGGAAUCUUCCGCAAUGGGCGAAAGCCUGACGGAGCAACGCCGCGUGAGUGAUGAAGGUCUUCGGAUCGUAAAACUCUGUUAUUAGGGAAGAACAUAUGUGUAAGUAACUGUGCACAUCUUGACGGUACCUAAUCAGAAAGCCACGGCUAACUACGUG